UACGGGGGGGGCAAGCGUUGUUCGGAAUUACUGGGCGUAAAGGGUUCGUAGGUGGCCUACUAAGUCAGACGUGAAAUCCCUCAGCUCAACUGGGGAACUGCGUCUGAGACUGGUGGGCUUGAGUGCAGGAGAGGAACGCGGAAUUCCAGGUGUAGCGGUGAAAUGCGUAGAUAUCUGGAGGAACACCGGUGGCGAAGGCGGCGUUCUGGACUGUUACUGACACUGAGGAACGAAAGCCAGGGGAGCAAACGGG
Molecule: ribosomal RNA, 253 nt
Filed under: uncultured bacterium
Lineage: Bacteria
Description: partial 16S ribosomal RNA
Rfam family: Bacterial small subunit ribosomal RNA
Source: RNAcentral